This 337-nucleotide long non-coding RNA is filed under the name Homo sapiens (human). RNAcentral's name for it is "HSALNT0254049". The record is from RNAcentral. Lineage: Eukaryota; Metazoa; Chordata; Mammalia; Primates; Hominidae.
AUAGAGACCCUCGGAGUCUGUGGGUGUGUGGGAUAGAGACCCUCGGAGUCUGUGGGUGUGUGGGAUAUAUGCCCUCGGAGUCUGUGGGUGUGUGGGAUAGAGACCCUCGGAGUCUGUGGGUGUGUGGGAUAUAUGCCCUCAGAGUCUGUGGGUGUGUGGGAUAGAGACCCUCGGAGUCUGUGGGUGUGUGGGAUAGAGACCCUCGGAGUCUGUGGGUGUGUGGGGAUAGAGACCCUCGGAGUCUGUGGGUGUGUGGGAUAUAUGCCCUCGGAGUCUGUGGGUGUGUGGGAUAGAGACCCUCGGAGUCUGUGGGUGUGUGGGAUAGAGACCCUCGGAG